GAUUGAACGCUGGCGGCAUGCUUUACACAUGCAGGUCGAACGGUAACCGGCCUUCGGGUGCUGACGAGUGGCGAACGGGUGAGUAAUGCAUCGGAACGUACCCAGAGGUGGGGGAUAACGCAGCGAAAGCUGUGCUAAUACCGCAUGUGAUCUGAGGAUGAAAGCGGGGGACCGAGCAGCAAUGUUUGGCCUCGCGCCUUUGGAGCGGCCGAUGUCGGAUUAGCUAGUUGGUGGGGUAAAGGCCUACCAAGGCGACGAUCCGUAGCUGGUCUGAGAGGACGACCAGCCACACUGGGACUGAGACACGGCCCAGACUCCUACGGGAGGCAGCAGUGGGGAAUUUUGGACAAUGGGCGCAAGCCUGAUCCAGCAAUGCCGCGUGCGGGAAGAAGGCCUUCGGGUUGUAAACCGCUUUUGGCAGGAACGAAACGGUGUCCGCUAAUACCGGGCGCUAAUGACGGUACCUGCAGAAUAAGCACCGGCUAACUACGUG
This 493-nucleotide ribosomal RNA is filed under the name uncultured bacterium. Its description in RNAcentral is "partial 16S ribosomal RNA". It matches the Rfam family "Bacterial small subunit ribosomal RNA", at positions 27 to 507 of the family's 1533-position model. The record is from RNAcentral.